AGGAAGGAAGACAAGCCCCGAAAAACCAGCAAACCGACAGGAAGCACAUGGGUGUUUGUGUUUUAUUAUCAGAAUGAAGAUGAUCUUUUUUUUUUUUUUUUUUUUUU
This 107-nucleotide non-coding RNA is filed under the name Stygamoeba regulata. Lineage: Eukaryota; Discosea; Stygamoebida. The record is from RNAcentral.